GUUGUACUCCCUCCGUCCCAAAAUUCUUGUCUUAAAUUUAUCUAAAUAUGAAUGUAUCAAGUCAUAUUUUAGUAUUAAAUACAUCCGUAUCUCGAUAAAUCUAAGAUAAGAAUUUUGGGACAGAGGGAGUACUAA
Non-coding RNA from Triticum aestivum (bread wheat), 135 nucleotides. Lineage: Eukaryota; Viridiplantae; Streptophyta; Magnoliopsida; Poales; Poaceae. The record is from Rfam.